GAUGAACGCUGGCGGCGUGCCUAAUACAUGCCAGUCGAGCGAACGGACGCGACGCUUGCUUCUCUGAUGUUAGCGGCGGACGGGUGUGUAACACGUGUAUAACCUACCUAUCAGACUGGGAUAACUUCGGGAAACCGGAGCUAAUACCGGAUGAUCUUUUGAACCGCAUGGUUCAAAAGUGAAAGACGGUCUUGCUGUCACUUAUAGCUGGUUCCGCGCUGCAUUAGCUGGUUGGUAAGGUAACGGCUUAUCAAGGCAACGAUGCAUAGCCGGCCUGAGAGGGUGAUCGGCCACACUGGAAGUGGGACACGGACCAGACUACUACGGGAGGCAGCAGUAGCGAAUCUGACGCAGUGGGCGAAAGCCUGACGGAGCAAGGCCGCGUGAGUGAUGAAGGUCCUCGGAUCGUAAAACUGUGUUAUGAGGGAAGAACAGAUGUGUAAGGAACUGUGCACAGCGUGACGGUACCGAAUCAGAAAGCAACGGCUAACUACGUG
Molecule: ribosomal RNA, 497 nt
Filed under: uncultured bacterium
Lineage: Bacteria
Description: partial 16S ribosomal RNA
Rfam family: Bacterial small subunit ribosomal RNA
Source: RNAcentral